RNAcentral lists this non-coding RNA (101 nucleotides) under unclassified sequences. RNAcentral's name for it is "preQ1-III sequence". It matches the Rfam family "PreQ1-III (pre queuosine) riboswitch aptamer". The record is from RNAcentral.
GAGCAACUUAGGAUUUUAGGCUCGCCGCCCUUUUUUGAAAAAGGGGCGGUCACACCGUCGGGAACUGGCAGGGCCGGGCGGUCAAAAUCUAACUGCCGGAG